This is a long non-coding RNA of Homo sapiens (human), 846 nucleotides long. Ensembl annotates it as maternally expressed 3. Its record names the gene MEG3. The record is from Ensembl. Lineage: Eukaryota; Metazoa; Chordata; Mammalia; Primates; Hominidae.
UCUUGAAAGGCCUGUCUACACUUGCUGUCUUCCUUCCUCACCUCCAAUUUCCUCUUCAACCCACUGCUUCCUGACUCGCUCUACUCCGUGGAAGCACGCUCACAAAGGGCUAAUCUCGGGCCUUGUCGAAGGAAGAGGCUGCAGACGUUAAUGAGGUUAGCUGCUGGAUUCCAGUAUUCGUCGCAUAAGGAUCCUUCUUUGUCUGCGAAGGAAAAACACACUGAUUAUCAUAAUGAGUUCCUGACCUGGCCAUCCCGGGGUGCCCUUGACCAGCCCCGUGUCUCCUCAGGGUGUCCCAGCACCAGCCUGGCACAGAGUGGGGCUCAGUUAGAGUAUGUGGGAUGUUGGUUUCGCCAGGUCUCCCUCUCGAGGUGUGGUUGUGACUGCGACCCUUCCCUUGCCGUGAUGCCUUCCUCCCCCGGGGCUUGGUCCAGCUCCUUCACUCUCUAGCAGCUGCUGGGGCCCACCUCCCAUGCCGAGGACCAGCAGGGGAAACCUCCAGGGAGCAUCUGCAGGCUCUGCUUCUGCCCGGCUGCUGGCUUGCUCUCCCUGGUGGCUCUCCAGCGGCCAGCUUCCUCACCCACCCGGCACUCCGCUUUGCUCUGUCUCCUGAGGUUCCCAGUGCCCCCGACAAGCCCCUGCUGGUGUCUCCAUCUCCUGCCAAGCAUCCUCCAGUGCCUCCUCCUGUGGGCCUGGCCUCAGGGCUAUGGACAGACUCCUGUCCCAUCCCAGAGACCCCUCGUGAUCGUGCCCUGGCACGUGGGCCGUGGCCCGGCUGGGUCGGCUGAAGAACUGCGGAUGGAAGCUGCGGAAGAGGCCCUGAUGGGGCCCACCAUCCCGGACCCA